AUGGGGGGCUCCCAUGGAGCCUGCAUUCUAGGGAGGAAAGCUGACAACACAUCAACUAGAAACUAUCAGUAACAUUAUGCAGAGAACUGAGAUGGGGAGCUACGUUUGCAUGAGUAGUCAGGAAAAAGAUCUUUGUUUUUGAAGGGUGAUGUCUGAACAGAGACCCCAGUGUUGCAUGGAAGCAGGUCAUGUGAAGACCAGGGAGAACAGCGCCCCAGAGAUGGAGUUCUGCUCGUCGCCCAGGCUGGAGUGCAGGGGCACAGUCUUGGCUCACCACAACCUCUGCCUCCUGGUUCAAGCAAUUCUCCCACCUCAGCCUCCCGAGUAGCUGGGAUUACAGCCACACAAAACAUGCCUGCUUCCCCUUCACCUUCCGCUGUGAUUGUGAGUUUCCUGAGGCCUCCCCAGCCGUACUUCCUGGACAGCCUGCAGAACCGUGAGCCAAUUAAACCUCUUUUCUUUAUAAAUUAUCCAGCCUCAGGUAUUUCUUUAUAGCAGUGAGAGAACAGACUCAUACAACUGGGCAUGUCUUCUAAGCAAGGUACUAUUCUAAUCACCAGACAAUAGUGUGCUAGUAACUAUUUCACAGCGGGCUCUAUGAGAGUAAUCCUGCCAUGAUUACUCACCAUGAUUACGGUGGCUAAUAUUUUCAUUUAUGUUAACAAGUAAGAUAAAGGUAAAACAACAAAAGUGCACGC
Pan troglodytes (chimpanzee) is the source of this 698-nucleotide long non-coding RNA. RefSeq lists it as uncharacterized. The transcript has 3 exons. NCBI's taxonomy places the organism in Eukaryota, Metazoa, Chordata, Mammalia, Primates, Hominidae. The record is from RefSeq and is a predicted model, not a curated record.